Molecule: long non-coding RNA, 1417 nt
Filed under: Macaca mulatta (Rhesus monkey)
Lineage: Eukaryota; Metazoa; Chordata; Mammalia; Primates; Cercopithecidae
Description: lncRNA (ENSMMUG00000053485.1)
Source: RNAcentral
GAGGGUUGAGGAUGCUUGGAGCUGGAGAAAUUAAUUCCACCUGCCAGGGUUGGAAAGCGUGCAGAGAGGAAGCGACUUCUGAGCUGAUAAUAGGAUUUUACAAGGUGAUAAAGAGCGUUUCAAACAGAAAAGAAAGAAGAGGAAAAACACCGCAAAGAUGUGAACAGAGGCAUUCAGAGAAGAUGUUACGGGGAGAGGAGGUGACUCGCUGGGGCUGGAGCUGGAUCUUACCUUGCACUGAAGAGUCAGAAGCUUCUGCAGAGCCCUUUGGUGCGCCUGCUACCCCACCCAGCUUCUGUGUGGAAGAGCUGACAAGCCCCAGAACACCCAGUAUAUCAAGAAGGUGUUGCAAAGAUGAUGGCCACCGUGAAGGCAGAGAAAAUAUCCAUGUUACUUUCCAAGAUAAACAAAAGACAAACAGAUUUGCAGAGAAUACAGGUAGGUGGAGGUGGAGCUAAAGGUGUUUCUGUUGCUUCCUUUAGCUCUACCAAGGUAAAGGAAGAAACAGAAGUAAAAAAAGAAGCACUUUUAUAAUUUAGAAGAUGCUUGGGAUGACAUCAUGCUUGAGGAUGAUGACGGCUUAAUGAUACCUUAUCAAAUUGGUAAUGUUUUCAUUAGUCAUUCUCAAGAAGAAACAUAAGAAGGAUGGGUGCAGUGGCUCACACCUGUAAUCCCAGCACUUUGGGAGGCUGAGGCAGGAGGAUCGCUUGAGCCCAAGAGUUCAAGAUCAGCCUGGGCAACAUAGCAAAGCCGUAUCUCUACAAAAUACCAAAAAUUGGCAGGGCAUGGUGGCAUGCAUCUGUAGUCCCAGCUACUUGGGAGGCUGAGAAGGGAGCAUCAGUUGAGCCCAGGAGUUCAAGGCUGCAGUGAGCGAUGAUUGUGCUAUUGCACUGUGGCCUGGGCAGCAAAGCAAGACCUUGUUGAAGAAGAAUAGGAGGAGGAGGAGGAGGAGGAGGAGGAGGAGGAGGAGGAGGAGGAGGAAGAAGAAGAAGAAGAAGAAGAAGAAGAAGAAGAAGAAGAAGAAGAAGAAGAAGAAGAAGAAGAAGAAGAAGAAGAAGGAAGAAGGAAGAAGGAAGAAGGAAGAAGGAAGAAGGAAGAAGGAGAAGGAGAAGGAGAAGAGGAGGAGGAGGAGGAGGAGGAAGAAGAAGGAGGAGGAGGAGGAGAAAGGGGCAGGAGGUGGGCAGGACGAGGGAGGAGAAGGGGAGGAGGGGGAAGAAGGGGAGAAGGGAGGAGAAGGGAGAAGGGAGGAGAAGGGGAGGAGGAGAAAAGAAAUACAAAAAAAUGUUAGAAGAAGCAAAGAAAAAGACAAAUAAGCAAGACGAAAUUGAUGCCUCAGAGUCCACAUUAGGAUCAAUUUAAUGGGUGUCAGCAGAUUUAAGAGUUCAGUUCUAUGCAAAAUGUGGGAGCAACAUAAAUG